UGAGAGCUCAAUGGGACUGUCAACCUGAAAAAAAGCAGCUUGUAGGCUGCAACUACCGCUGCUGCUACUGCUGCUGUUACUUCUGUAGCUAUUGUUACUGUUGCUGCAGUUGUUAUGUUGUAAUUGUUAGGAGUGGAAAUAUAUUCAAACGCCUCGCUCAUUUAUCGCCAAUGGCGUGGAAGGUGUGUCCAAGGUAUUUUGGCUUUUUCUCUUUUUGCGGUCACGACUUGUUAAGCCUAUCUGAUCUACAUCGAUAGUUGACGCGAAUGUUUCCUGUCGAAAAAAGAAGGCUUUCUGAUAUUAUAUCGGGGAUAAGAAAAGGAAUGAAACAGGGCUUGAUAUUUCAAAGAAUAUACAUAUCCUGUUAUACUGUAAGGAGUACAGAGAACAGUGGAAUGUCUGCUGUGUAAUGCUACAACACAUCUUGGACCCGUCCCCGUCUACGGAAUAGUUAUGGCUUUACUAAUUUUCUUCAGCAUCGAGAUCUUAAUCUAUUGAUAUGUAAGUCAGAAGAUUUGGGU
Molecule: long non-coding RNA, 521 nt
Filed under: Octopus vulgaris (common octopus)
Lineage: Eukaryota; Metazoa; Mollusca; Cephalopoda; Octopoda; Octopodidae
Source: RNAcentral